This is a long non-coding RNA of Mus caroli (Ryukyu mouse), 506 nucleotides long. RefSeq lists it as uncharacterized. The record is from RefSeq and is a predicted model, not a curated record. Lineage: Eukaryota; Metazoa; Chordata; Mammalia; Rodentia; Muridae.
CUAACCAGGAUAGCUCAGGUUCCUGAAAUGAAGUGAUGUUUUGUUUCUUCACAACGUUCCCCUUCUCCAGGAGGUGGGGCACAUUCUUUGUGCUGAACAAAGCAGAUGACAACACAGUUGUCCUUGACUGCCAUCCUGUCUUGUCCAGGCCACCGUGUCCCUUCAGUUUCAUUCUCCACCCCACAUGAGCACUCCAGAGCGUUUUGCAUGCAGUGCCAACGAUGACCAGCAGGUGGCGCCAUGAGGGCUCAAGCAGGCCGGCAACUAGAAGCGAAAGCCAGAAAACAGAAACCCAACAACACAAAGAUUGAUAGGAAUACAUUUCCUCGUCUCUUCCGCAUGUUGUAUUAUGCAGUAGAGAUGUCAAGCUGACAGGAUUCUGUUAUAUCUUCUGUCUGACGAAGAACAUGCCUUAGCACGCCUAUUAAUUGAGAUGCUAACUUAUAAAGAAAAAGGCUGACUGGAGAAACCAUGAAAGAGUCAGCGCUGAGGAAAGCAUUUCUUCU